Molecule: ribosomal RNA, 211 nt
Filed under: uncultured Lactobacillus sp.
Lineage: Bacteria; Bacillati; Bacillota; Bacilli; Lactobacillales; Lactobacillaceae
Description: partial 16S ribosomal RNA
Rfam family: Bacterial small subunit ribosomal RNA
Source: RNAcentral
AAGGUGGCUAAUAACCGGACGUAAGAAAGACAGAUCGCAUGAUCAGCUUUUAAAAGGCGGCGUAAGCUGUCGCUAUGGGAUGGCCCCGCGGUGCAUUAGCUAGUUGGUAAGGUAAAGGCUUACCAAGGCGAUGAUGCAUAGCCGAGUUGAGAGACUGAUCGGCCACAUUGGGACUGAGACACGGCCCAAACUCCUACGGGAGGCAGCAGUU